RNAcentral lists this ribosomal RNA (229 nucleotides) under uncultured bacterium. Its description in RNAcentral is "partial 16S ribosomal RNA". It matches the Rfam family "Bacterial small subunit ribosomal RNA", at positions 568 to 796 of the family's 1533-position model. The record is from RNAcentral.
UGCGUAGGCGGAUUAAUAAGUCAGUGGUGAAAUCUUUCGGCUCAACCGAGACACUGCCAUUGAUACUGUUAAUCUUGAGUUCGGUUGAGGUAGGCGGAAUGUGUAAUGUAGCGGUGAAAUGCUUAGAUAUUACACAGAACACCAAUUGCGUAGGCAGCUUACUAGACCGACACUGACGCUGAGGCACGAAAGCGUGGGGAGCGAACAGGAUUAGAUACCCUGGUAGUCC